This 253-nucleotide ribosomal RNA is filed under the name uncultured bacterium. Its description in RNAcentral is "partial 16S ribosomal RNA". It matches the Rfam family "Bacterial small subunit ribosomal RNA", at positions 524 to 776 of the family's 1533-position model. The record is from RNAcentral.
UACGAAGGGGGCUAGCGUUGUUCGGUUUUACUGGGCGUAAAGCGCGGGUAGGCGGGUCGUUAAGUUGGGGGUGAAAGCCCGGAGCGCAACUCCGGAACUGCCUUCAAAACUGGCGACCUGGAGCAUGUCAGAGGCGAGUGGAAUUGCGAGUGUAGAGGUGAAAUUCGUAGAUAUUCGCAGGAACACCAGUGGCGAAGGCGGCUCGCUGGGACAUUGCUUACGCUGAGACGCGAAAGCGUGGGGAGCAAACAGG